Molecule: long non-coding RNA, 806 nt
Filed under: Marmota monax (woodchuck)
Lineage: Eukaryota; Metazoa; Chordata; Mammalia; Rodentia; Sciuridae
Source: RNAcentral
AAUUACACCAGCAAUCUUUAUUGUAUAUCUUUCAUUGAUCAUAUUAAAGACUAUGCAAGCAUUAUUCUUUGUAUUUAUGAAAGUUACACAGUUAGCAACGGUAUGCAGCUAUUUCCUCCGUUACAUUCUACAGUUGGAAUUUGCAAUGUUAAGAGCACUGUGCAGCUCUCAAGAAAGUCCAUCCUUUAAAGUUACUUUAAAGCAUCCUUUAAAGCAGCGGAACUGGUGAAACAUUGUGGUUGACUUAGCAAGGAACUUUGUGCCUGAGAAUAAGGUCAUAGCUGAAAAGUCUCCCACAACAGAGUCUCCCCCAUGGAGAGCAUUGCCAUAGCAACCGGGCAUCGUAUACUUUUGCGUAGAAACUUUUCCAGUCACCAAGCAUGCCACUGCCAUUACAUCAUUAGAGACCUCCAUCUGAGACACUUGUCUCCCAAUCACUGUCCUGGUCUCCACAGGGGAUUGAACCCAAGGCUGCUUUACCACUGAGCUACACCCUCACCAAGGCUCCCCCUCUUUUUUUCUUUCUUGAGACAGUGGUAGACUCUGUUGCCCAGGCUGACCUUACACUCAUCUAAAACUAGAGCAAUGUGGUCUCUGAACCUUUACCCCAAUGGUAGUCACAUUUGCUGGGAACUCAGCUGAAGUGGUUCAAUUAAAGUAAUGACUUUGGAAUUGUAUAGGAUGUGACUACUGUUUCCAACCCAUUCUACCAGGCCUGGUAGAAAUUUGCAAGUCCAUUUUUAUGUCUCCAGAUCAUAAGAAAAAAUAUUUUUUCAAAUUUUCACAGAUGUACCAAUAUCACACAG